AAGACAGAGAAAUAGAGAACAUUAAAAACUAAUCUGUAUUUUUUGUAACUGGCGAUAGCAAUGCCAUAUUACAAGCCUUAAUGACAUUGGGGUCUUUAAGGUCCCUGAAAGUGGCUAUAUGA
Molecule: small nucleolar RNA, 122 nt
Filed under: Erinaceus europaeus (western European hedgehog)
Lineage: Eukaryota; Metazoa; Chordata; Mammalia; Eulipotyphla; Erinaceidae
Description: Small nucleolar RNA SNORA33
Rfam family: Small nucleolar RNA SNORA33
About the family: ACA33 is a member of the H/ACA class of snoRNA that guide the sites of modification of uridines to pseudouridines.
Source: Rfam by way of RNAcentral